UUAGCCCUAAACCUAGAUAUUUAUAUACAAAAAUAUCCGCCAGAGAAUUACGAGCAAAACGCUUAAAACUCUAAGGACUUGGCGGUGCCUCAAACCCACCUAGAGGAGCCUGUUCUAUAAUCGAUAACCCACGAUCCACCUCACCAUCUCUUGCCAACCAGCCUAUAUACCACCGUCGCCAGCUUACCCUGUGAGGAUACAAAAGUAAGCAAGAUAAUAUAAACCAUUAACAAGUCAGGUCAAGGUGUAGCUAACUGAGAUGGAAGAAAUGGGCUACAUUUUCUAUACUAGAAAUAACACUCACGGAAAGGAACCAUGAAACAGUCCAGCAAGUAGGAUUUAGCAGUAAACUGGGAACAGAGAGCCCAAUUUAAACCGGUCCUGAGGUGCGC
RNAcentral lists this ribosomal RNA (392 nucleotides) under Trachemys scripta scripta. RNAcentral's name for it is "partial 12S ribosomal RNA". It matches the Rfam family "Bacterial small subunit ribosomal RNA", at positions 796 to 1384 of the family's 1533-position model. The record is from RNAcentral. Lineage: Eukaryota; Metazoa; Chordata; Testudines; Emydidae.